RNAcentral lists this transfer RNA (75 nucleotides) under Pteropus alecto (black flying fox). It matches the Rfam family "tRNA". From Rfam's summary of the family: Transfer RNA (tRNA) molecules are approximately 80 nucleotides in length. The record is from Rfam by way of RNAcentral. Lineage: Eukaryota; Metazoa; Chordata; Mammalia; Chiroptera; Pteropodidae.
GGUUCUAUAGUGUAGUGGUUAGAGCACGUCUGCUUUACACGUAGAAGGCCCUGGGUUCGCAUCCCAGUGGCGCCA